RNAcentral lists this ribosomal RNA (253 nucleotides) under uncultured bacterium. RNAcentral describes it as "partial 16S ribosomal RNA". It matches the Rfam family "Bacterial small subunit ribosomal RNA", at positions 524 to 776 of the family's 1533-position model. The record is from RNAcentral.
CACGGCGGGAGCAAGCGUUAUUCGGAAUCACUGGGCGUAAAGAGCGCGUAGGCGGUCUCUUAAGUCAGAUGUGAAAGCCCGGGGCUUAACCCCGGAAGUGCAUUUGAAACUAAGGGACUUGAGUAUGGGAGAGGGAAGUGGAAUUCCUGGUGUAGCGGUGAAAUGCGUAGAUAUCAGGAGGAACACCGGUGGCGAUGGCGACUUCCUGGACCAAUACUGACGCUGAGUCGCGAAGGCGUGGGGAGCAAACAGG